This is a long non-coding RNA of Gossypium arboreum, 285 nucleotides long. RefSeq lists it as uncharacterized. The record is from RefSeq and is a predicted model, not a curated record. Lineage: Eukaryota; Viridiplantae; Streptophyta; Magnoliopsida; Malvales; Malvaceae. The transcript has 2 exons.
UUUAAAUUAAUUAUUUAUAUAUUUAUAUCGACGUUGUAGGCUUGCAACUUAUUAGCAGGGAGGGGACAGAUCCUUUGAUUGCUGCCGCACCCUAACGCCGUGUGUUACAAUUGUUUGUCCUUGAUGCGUGGUUGGCCUAAGUAAAAGAUUUGGUUAUGUUGAUGGCAUAUCCGUGUGCACCGUAGUACUGACAUUGGAUUAGAAUGUUGUUUCGAUUGAAUUUAUCCAUUGGAAAAAUGUAAAAUUAUUUAAAAGUAUAUUUUAUUAAAUUAAUUUUUCUUAAAA